UAGGUCUCAAACGCACCAAAGGGUGGGU
RNAcentral lists this small RNA (28 nucleotides) under Bombyx mori (domestic silkworm). RNAcentral's name for it is "ovarian small RNA-22782". The record is from RNAcentral. Lineage: Eukaryota; Metazoa; Arthropoda; Insecta; Lepidoptera; Bombycidae.